RNAcentral lists this ribosomal RNA (253 nucleotides) under uncultured bacterium. RNAcentral's name for it is "partial 16S ribosomal RNA". It matches the Rfam family "Bacterial small subunit ribosomal RNA", at positions 524 to 776 of the family's 1533-position model. The record is from RNAcentral.
UACGGGGGGGGCAAGCGUUGUUCGGAAUUACUGGGCGUAAAGGGUCUGUAGGUGGCCAACUAAGUCAGACGUGAAAUCCCUCAGCUUAACUGGGGAACUGCGUCUGAGACUGGAUGGCUCGAGUGCAGGAGAGGAAUGCGGAAUUCCAGGUGUAGCGGUGAAAUGCGUAGAUAUCAGGAGGAACACCAACAGCGAAGGCAGCUCGCUGGGACGGUACUGACGCUGAGGCGCGAAAGCGUGGGGAGCGAACAGG